GAUGAACGCUGGCGGCGUGCCUAAUACAUGCAAGUCGAGCGAACGGACGAGAAGCUUGCUUCUCUGAUGUUAGCGGCGGACGGGUGAGUAACACGUGGAUAACCUACCUAUAAGACUGGGAUAACUUCGGGAAACCGGAGCUAAUACCGGAUAAUAUUUUGAACCGCAUGGUUCAAAAGUGAAAGACGGUCUUGCUGUCACUUAUAGAUGGAUCCGCGCCGCAUUAGCUAGUUGGUAAGGUAACGGCUUACCAAGGCAACGAUGCAUAGCCGACCUGAGAGGGUGAUCGGCCACACUGGAACUGAGACACGGACCAGACUCCUACGGGAGGCAGCAGUAGGGAAUCUUCCGCAAUGGGCGAAAGCCUGACGGAGCAACGCCGCGUGAGUGAUGAAGGUCUUCGGAUCGUAAAACUCUGUUAUUAGGGAAGAACAUAUGUGUAAGUAACUGUGCACAUCUUGACGGUACCUAAUCAGAAAGCCACGGCUAACUACGUG
RNAcentral lists this ribosomal RNA (497 nucleotides) under uncultured bacterium. Its description in RNAcentral is "partial 16S ribosomal RNA". It matches the Rfam family "Bacterial small subunit ribosomal RNA", at positions 28 to 507 of the family's 1533-position model. The record is from RNAcentral.